UUUCCGUAGGUGAACCUGCGGAAGGAUCAUUAGUGAAUUUUAGGGCGUCUGCUUUUGCAGAGCCUGACCUCCACUUCUAACACUGUGCACUUGAUGGCAAAGAAAGGACUAGAGAAGCGUAACAACUUCAUUAGAACCCUGCUUUGCGGCUUCAUUUUAAACUUUAGUCAAAGUAUGUAACAAAAUUUAAAACAAAAAAAACUUUCAACAACGGAUCUCUUGGCUCUCGCAUCGAUGAAGAACGCAGC
This 248-nucleotide unclassified non-coding RNA is filed under the name uncultured fungus. Its description in RNAcentral is "sequence contains ITS1, 5.8S rRNA gene". The stretch from base 200 to 248 matches the Rfam family "5.8S ribosomal RNA", at positions 1 to 49 of the family's 154-position model. Lineage: Eukaryota; Fungi. The record is from RNAcentral.